AGCUUGUUGGUAAGGUAAUGGCUUACCAAGGCUACGAUCUCUAGCUGGUCUGAGAGGACGAUCAGCCACACUGGGACUGAGACACGGCCCAGACUCCUACGGGAGGCAGCAGUAGGGAAUAUUGGACAAUGGGGGCAACCCUGAUCCAGGCAUGCCGCGUGUGUGAAGAAGGCCUUAGGGUUGUAAAGCACUUUAAGUGAGGAAGAAAAGAUUUAAAUUAAUACUUUAAGUCCCUGACAUUACUCACAGAAUAAGGACCGGCUAA
RNAcentral lists this ribosomal RNA (265 nucleotides) under uncultured Pseudomonadota bacterium. RNAcentral's name for it is "uncultured proteobacterium partial 16S ribosomal RNA". It matches the Rfam family "Bacterial small subunit ribosomal RNA", at positions 243 to 500 of the family's 1533-position model. The record is from RNAcentral. Lineage: Bacteria; Pseudomonadati; Pseudomonadota.